UUACAAACCCGAGCCAUCGCUCCAAGCAAUUGGGGAGGAAAGUCCGGACAGUACAGAGCAACCCACCGGUUAAGCGCCGGCUCCUCAAUUUAUUGAGGAAGAGAGAGUGCCACAGAAAAUAACUAUCACAGGCAACUGUGAAAAAGGUGAAAACGGGAGGUAAGAGCUCCCGGCGGUGGUUGGUAACAGCUGCUGCGGGUAAACCUUGGGUACUGUAAUGCCAUGUAUAGGAUCGCUUGAGGGCUGCUCGCUCAAGAUCCAGGGUAGGCAGCAAGAUCAGCUCAGUAAUGAUCUGACUAGAUAAAUGAUGGAGUUGAAACAGAAUCCGGCUUACGAGGUUUGUAUUUUU
Molecule: RNase P RNA, 349 nt
Filed under: Sediminibacterium sp.
Lineage: Bacteria; Pseudomonadati; Bacteroidota; Chitinophagia; Chitinophagales; Chitinophagaceae
Description: RNase P RNA component class A
Rfam family: Bacterial RNase P class A
About the family: Ribonuclease P (RNase P) is a ubiquitous endoribonuclease, found in archaea, bacteria and eukarya as well as chloroplasts and mitochondria. Its best characterised activity is the generation of mature 5'-ends of tRNAs by cleaving the 5'-leader elements of precursor-tRNAs. Cellular RNase Ps are ribonucleoproteins.
Source: RNAcentral